GUGGGGAAUUUUGCGCAAUGGGGGAAACCCUGACGCAGCAACGCCGCGUGAGUGAUGAAGGCCUUCGGGUCGUAAAGCUCUGUCAGAGGGAAAGAAGUGCGAGAGGGUUAAUACCCCUUUUGCUUGACGGUACCCUCAAAGGAAGCACCGGCUAACUCCGUGCCAGCAGCCGCGGUAAUACGGAGGGUGCGAGCGUUGUUCGGAAUUAUUGGGCGUAAAGCGCGUGUAGGCGGUCUUUUAUGUCUGAUGUGAAAGCCCCGGGCUCAACCUGGGAAGUGCAUUGGAAACUGGGAGACUUGAAUACGGGAGAGGGUAGUGGAAUUCCUAGUGUAGGAGUGAAAUCCGUAGAUAUUAGGAGGCACACCGGUGGCGAAGGCGGCUACCUGGACCGAUAUUGACGCUGAGACGCGAAAGCGUGGGGAGCAAACAGGAUUAGAAACCCCAGUAGUCC
This 451-nucleotide ribosomal RNA is filed under the name uncultured bacterium. RNAcentral's name for it is "partial 16S ribosomal RNA". It matches the Rfam family "Bacterial small subunit ribosomal RNA", at positions 354 to 796 of the family's 1533-position model. The record is from RNAcentral.